RNAcentral lists this ribosomal RNA (253 nucleotides) under uncultured bacterium. RNAcentral's name for it is "partial 16S ribosomal RNA". It matches the Rfam family "Bacterial small subunit ribosomal RNA", at positions 524 to 776 of the family's 1533-position model. The record is from RNAcentral.
UACGGAGGGUGCAAGCGUUGUCCGGAUUUAUUGGGUUUAAAGGGUGCGUAGGUGGCCUGCUAAGUCCGCUCUGAAAGUUGGUCGCUUAACGAUCAAGGGUGGGUGGAUACUGGUGGGCUUGGAUCAGGUGGCGGUUUCUGGAACGGGUCGUGUAGCGGUGAAAUGCAUAGAUAUGACCCAGAACUCCGAUUGCGAAGGCAGGAGGCUACGCCUGGAUUGACACUGAGGCACGAGAGCAUGGGGAGCAAACAGG